CUGGCUGUGGCUUAUUCAGGCACAGAGCUUGUUUACCUAUUCUGAAUAUUUGACCUUUCUACUUUUUGGAAAUGGGUUUUUUUUUCCUCUUAAUUAUGUGGAAGGAGCACUUCCUUUCAGAGCUCUGAUGGACUUCUCUAUAAAUAGCUCCUCAUGUCCCAGAACCUCACACCAGAGCCUUCAGCAAAGUCAGCAUCCCCAGGACUUUUUCAGCCUGAGAUGGGAACCACGUGGAGUUUAAUCAUUAAUCACCAGUCUUUAAUUAACAGCUCUGGGCUUUGAACAAAAGGCACUUACUGCAAGGCUGCUGAGGGGCCCUGAACUCUUCAGUGUGCUUUCAUUUGGGGGACCUGGUGGCCUUCCAAAGGGGGCUGGUGGAGCAACCUCCUCCUCCUGGGAAGGGUCACGCAGCCCGGGAGCAGCAGAUGUUCGUGGCCUGAUCUCCAUUUGCACAAUUGUCCCGUGGCUGCAGGCAGAGCUGCCUCAAUGUGGGGACGCUGCCAGCUCCCCAAGGUGGGCAAAGAAGCAGAGAAUCUCCAGAGCGCCGUUACCACCAUCAGAGCUGCAUGAAAAACCCGAGAAGAGAAGCCCUAGACCAUUAGAAGAUAUCCUUGAUCAUCAUCUGUGGGGAAAUUCCAAUUGGCAGAGUCCAACAAAGAGCAGCUUUGUAAAGAAUCCAGAAAUGAGAAAGCAAUUCCUGUGAAAAUCUUCUUUGGGUGCUUGUCUCUUCUUCUUUGCUUCUCUUUCUCACUUCUCUUUCUGCUGCUUGGUAUUGAAACAAAAAUGUAGCUCAGAUUUACUCUAAAAUCAACUUUACUUCCAAAUAAGGCCCUGUAAGGUUGUCUCAUGAGCGGGGAUUUAUUUUUUCAAGAAAAAGACUUCCAUUAUCUGAUUUCCAAUGGAUGGCAUGGCUUACACUCUGCUUUUUGUAACAUCCCUGUUUGCAAUGGGAGCUCCUCUGGGAACACAGAGAUGCUUGAGAA
Long non-coding RNA from Passer domesticus (house sparrow), 983 nucleotides. RefSeq lists it as uncharacterized. The record is from RefSeq and is a predicted model, not a curated record. NCBI's taxonomy places the organism in Eukaryota, Metazoa, Chordata, Aves, Passeriformes, Passeridae. The transcript is spliced from 2 exons.